UGCAAAGGUGCUGAGUGAUUGGGUGGGGCCAUGCCCCUCCCCCCACCCCCACCGCGGGGCCCUGGAGGAAGGGGAUGAACUCUACAAGGCCCUCUCCGCAGAGAAACCUGGUCUUGUGAACUGCAACACAUAUCUGGGAGGAUGGGUUUCCCAAGGCACUGCCACUGCCUGCCCCUGCUCUGGGGGCUCUGCUGCUCCCAGGUCCCCAGCUGGAGCCCCCCAGCCCUGCUCCCUAAUUCCAGCGGAGCAGGCACCGUGCCCGCAUGCCCAAUUGAUUCUCCCAGCACACACAGGCCUCAGUCUCCUCUGCUGCAGAAUGGGUGCCAAGCCCUCUGCGUGACAGACACUGCAAGUGUAUGACUCGGGACCAGGAUGUGCUAUGGGCUGUCCUCUGUGGGACAUGUAGGAAGCCUCCUUGUUCCUUUCCUCUUGGGCCUGGCAGGGCCCUCGGGAGAAGACAGGCUCUUCCAGUGCCAGGUGCGCUAGGAUGGGCACUGAGUCUGAGCUCCACGGAGGUGUGCUCUCCCCUACUCUGCACGGGAAAUGGACGGGACCAACCUGAGCCUCUAAAGCCUUCUUUUUUCCUCCUCGUGGGGCUUCUGGAACCAAAGAGGACUUCAUUUCCAUUUGGGGGCAGGGCAGGAAGAAAGAGAGGGGGUGCUGCAGCAGGACGGAUGGAGGAUCGAUAUCAAGGGGAACUUCCAGUGGAACGAAGCUUUGCUUUCUGAGCUGUGAUAAAUGCUCUGCUGGGCUGUGGGAAAGGGGCUGGGAUGGAAAUGGCAUUGGCUGGGCCUAUAGCCAAUGGGAACUUCCCCAUAGAAGAUGCCACUUAAAAAUGUUAUUACACCCUCAGGACUUUUAAAGUGAAGAAUAAAGUAACCAUGAACACCCUUUAAAGUAAUAUUGAGAGUUCCGAAGAG
RNAcentral lists this long non-coding RNA (920 nucleotides) under Chinchilla lanigera (long-tailed chinchilla). RNAcentral describes it as "lncRNA (ENSCLAG00000023980.1)". The record is from RNAcentral. Lineage: Eukaryota; Metazoa; Chordata; Mammalia; Rodentia; Chinchillidae.